GUGAACGCUGGCGGUAGGCCUAACACAUGCAAGUCGCACGGCAGCACAGUAAGAGCUUGCUCUUACGGGUGGCGAGUGGCGGACGGGUGAGGAAUACAUCGGAAUCUACUUUUUCGUGGGGGAUAACGUAGGGAAACUUACACUAAUACCGCAUACGACCUACGGGUGAAAGCAGGGGAUCUUCGGACCUUGCGCGAUUGAAUGAGCCGAUGUCGGAUUAGCUAGUUGGCGGGGUAAAGGCCCACCAAGGCGACGAUCCGUAGCUGGUCUGAGAGGAUGAUCAGCCACACUGGAACUGAGACACGGUCCAGACUCCUACGGGAGGCAGCAGUGGGGAAUAUUGGACAAUGGGCGCAAGCCUGAUCCAGCCAUACCGCGUGGGUGAAGAAGGCCUUCGGGUUGUAAAGCCCUUUUGUUGGGAAAGAAAAGCAGCAGGUUAAUACCCCGCUGUUCUGACGGUACCCAAAGAAUAAGCACCGGCUAACUUCGUG
This 491-nucleotide ribosomal RNA is filed under the name uncultured bacterium. RNAcentral's name for it is "partial 16S ribosomal RNA". It matches the Rfam family "Bacterial small subunit ribosomal RNA", at positions 29 to 507 of the family's 1533-position model. The record is from RNAcentral.